GGAGGUGGCAAGCGUUGCUCGGAUUUACUGGGUGUAAAGGGCACGUAGGCGGUCCAAUAAGCCCCGCCUGAAAUGCUCUGGCUCAACCAGAGUAAGUGGCGGGGGACUGCUGGACUUGAGGAUGAGAGAGGCGAGCGGAAUUCCCGGUGUAAGGGUGAAAUCUGUAGAGAUCGGGAGGAACACCAGUCGCGAAGGCGGCUCGCUGGCUCAUUUCUGACGCUGAGGUGCGAAAGCUAGGGGAGCAAACAGGAUUAGAUACCCUGGUAGUCCUAGCCGUAAACGAUGGACACUAGGUGUCGGCUCCGUUCAGGAGUCGGUGCCGCAGCCAACGCGUUAAGUGUCCCACCUGAGGAGUACGGCCGCAAGGUUG
This 370-nucleotide ribosomal RNA is filed under the name uncultured bacterium. RNAcentral's name for it is "bacterial SSU rRNA". It matches the Rfam family "Bacterial small subunit ribosomal RNA", at positions 527 to 896 of the family's 1533-position model. The record is from RNAcentral.